This 397-nucleotide ribosomal RNA is filed under the name uncultured bacterium. RNAcentral's name for it is "partial 16S ribosomal RNA". It matches the Rfam family "Bacterial small subunit ribosomal RNA", at positions 523 to 918 of the family's 1533-position model. The record is from RNAcentral.
AUACGUAGGGGGCGAGCGUUGUCCGGAAUGAUUGGGCGUAAAGGGCGCGUAGGCGGCCCGGUAAGUCUGGAGUGAAAGUCCUGUUUUUAAGAUGGGAAUUGCUUUGGAUACUGUCGGGCUUGAGUGCAGGAGAGGUAAGUGGAAUUCCCAGUGUAGCGGUGAAAUGCGUAGAGAUUGGGAGGAACACCAGUGGCGAAGGCGGCUUACUGGACUGUAACUGACGCUGAGGCGCGAAAGUGUGGGGAGCAAACAGGAUUAGAUACCCUGGUAGUCCACACGGUAAGCGAUGAAUGCUAGGUGUAGGGGGUAUCGACCCCUUCUGUGCCGCAGUCAACACAAUAAGCAUUCCGCCUGGGGAGUACGGCCGCAAGGUUGAAACUCAAAGGAAUUGACGGGG